This 253-nucleotide ribosomal RNA is filed under the name uncultured bacterium. Its description in RNAcentral is "partial 16S ribosomal RNA". It matches the Rfam family "Bacterial small subunit ribosomal RNA", at positions 524 to 776 of the family's 1533-position model. The record is from RNAcentral.
UACGGAGGGGGCUAGCGUUGUUCGGAAUUACUGGGCGUAAAGCGCGCGUAGGCGGACCUGCAAGUCGGGUGUGAAAGCCCUCAGCUCAACUGAGGAAGUGCGCCCGAAACUGCAGAGCUUGAGUACCGGAGAGGAUGGCGGAAUUCCCCAAGUAGAGGUGAAAUUCGUAGAUAUGGGGAGGAACACCGGUGGCGAAGGCGGGCAUCUGGACGGUCACUGACGCUGAGACGCGAAAGCGUGGGGAGCAAACGGG